UAGGGAAUCUUCGGCAAUGGACGAAAGUCUGACCGAGCAACGCCGCGUGAGUGAAGAAGGUUUUCGGAUCGUAAAACUCUGUUGUUAGAGAAGAACAAGGACGUUAGUAACUGAACGUCCCCUGACGGUAUCUAACCAGAAAGCCACGGCUAACUACGUGCCAGCAGCCGCGGUAAUACGUAGGUGGCAAGCGUUGUCCGGAUUUAUUGGGCGUAAAGCGAGCGCAGGCGGUUUCUUAAGUCUGAUGUGAAAGCCCCCGGCUCCACCGGGGAGGGUCAUUGGAAACUGGGAGACUUGAGUGCAGAAGAGGAGAGUGGAAUUCCAUGUGUAGCGGUGAAAUGCGUAGAUAUAUGGAGGAACACCAGUGGCGAAGGCGGCUCUCUGGUCUGUAACUGACGCUGAGGCUCGAAAGCGUGGGGAGCAAACAGG
Molecule: ribosomal RNA, 429 nt
Filed under: Gemmatimonadota bacterium
Lineage: Bacteria; Pseudomonadati; Gemmatimonadota
Description: Gemmatimonadetes bacterium partial 16S ribosomal RNA
Rfam family: Bacterial small subunit ribosomal RNA
Source: RNAcentral